GACGAACGCUGGCGGCGUACUUAACACAUGCAAGUCGAACGGUGAAGCGCCUUCCUUUUUGGUGGGUGUGGAUGAGUGGCGAACGGGUGAGUAACACGUGAGUAACCUGCCCCCUUCUUCUGGAUAACCGCAUGAAAGUGUGGCUAAUACGGGAUAUUCUGGGUCUGUCGCAUGAUGGGUCUGGGAAAGAUAUUGUUUCGGUGGGGGAUGGGCUCGCGGCCUAUCAGCUUGUUGGUGGGGUGAUGGCCUACCAAGGCGGUGACGGGUAGCCGGCCUGAGAGGGUGGACGGUCACACUGGGACUGAGACACGGCCCAGACUCCUACGAGAGGCAGCAGUGGGGAAUAUUGCACAAUGGGCGCAAGCCUGAUGCAGCGACGCCGCGUGAGGGAUGGAGGCCUUCGGGUUGUGAACCUCUUUCGCCAGUGAAGCAGGCCUGCCUCGUUUGUGGGUGGGUUGACGGUAGCUGGAUAAGAAGCGCCGGCUAACUACGUG
RNAcentral lists this ribosomal RNA (494 nucleotides) under uncultured bacterium. Its description in RNAcentral is "partial 16S ribosomal RNA". It matches the Rfam family "Bacterial small subunit ribosomal RNA", at positions 28 to 507 of the family's 1533-position model. The record is from RNAcentral.